RNAcentral lists this ribosomal RNA (447 nucleotides) under uncultured bacterium. Its description in RNAcentral is "partial 16S ribosomal RNA". It matches the Rfam family "Bacterial small subunit ribosomal RNA", at positions 330 to 793 of the family's 1533-position model. The record is from RNAcentral.
GCCAGACUCCUACGGGAGGCAGCAGUGGGGGAUAUUGCACAAUGGGGGGAACCCUGAUGCAGCGACGCCGCGUGGGUGAAGGAGCGUUUCGGCGCGUAAAGCCCUAUCGGCAGGGAAGAAGGAGGACGGUACCUGACUAAGAAGCCCCGGCUAACUACGUGCCAGCAGCCGCGGUAAUACGUAGGGGGCAAGCGUUAUCCGGAUUUACUGGGCGUAAAGGGAGCGCAGGCGGUUCUGCAAGUCUGAUGUGAAAGCCCGGGGCUCAACCGCGGGACCGCAUUGGAAACUGCGGGACUGGAGUGUCGGAGGGGUAAGCGGAAUUCCUGGUGUAGCGGUGAAAUGCGUAGAUAUCAGGAGGAACACCGGUGGCGAAGGCGGCUUACUGGACGAUGACUGACGCUGAGGCUCGAAAGCGUGGGGAGCAAACAGGAUUAGAUACCCUGGUAC